UGGGGAAUUUUGGACAAUGGGCGCAAGCCUGAUCCAGCCAUGCCGCGUGCAGGAUGAAGGCCUUCGGGUUGUAAACUGCUUUUGUACGGAACGAAAAGACUCCUUCUAAUAAAGGGGGUCCAUGAUGGUACCGUAAGAAUAAGCACCGGCUAACUACGUG
RNAcentral lists this ribosomal RNA (160 nucleotides) under uncultured bacterium. RNAcentral describes it as "partial 16S ribosomal RNA". It matches the Rfam family "Bacterial small subunit ribosomal RNA", at positions 355 to 507 of the family's 1533-position model. The record is from RNAcentral.